UACGGGGGGGGCAAGCGUUGUUCGGAAUUACUGGGCGUAAAGGGCUCGUAGGCGGCCAACUAAGUCAGACGUGAAAUCCCUCGGCUUAACCGGGGAACUGCGUCUGAUACUGGAUGGCUUGAGUUUGGGAGAGGGAUGCGGAAUUCCAGGUGUAGCGGUGAAAUGCGUAGAUAUCGAGAGGAACACCGGUGGCGAAGGCGGGUCUCUGGGCCGAUACUGACGCUGAGGAGCGAAAGCGUGGGGAGCGAACAGG
This 253-nucleotide ribosomal RNA is filed under the name uncultured bacterium. RNAcentral's name for it is "partial 16S ribosomal RNA". It matches the Rfam family "Bacterial small subunit ribosomal RNA", at positions 524 to 776 of the family's 1533-position model. The record is from RNAcentral.